ACUAAUCUUUCAUAAACCCAAUAACUUUUUCUUUAAUAGAUUUUGGAAAAGAAAAAUUCUGACAUAAUAUUUGCGAGGUAAUCAUUUAGAAAUACAAGACCAGAAGAUUACCGUCAACAUGUACAGUAAUCGAGAAGUGGAGGAAGACUACCUCGGCAUUGCAAGUGCUCCCAUUUUAUUAGUACGACGUCAAGCUCAGAGGUCUCCAAGAUAUUAUCUGCUCUGUGAAAAGGAAAACUGCAGCCAACUCUUCCUACACUGCCCAGUGGCAUACCAAAUCUGGAAAGGAAGCUAGAUGCUUCGAAGUGAAAGUUGAUGCUGUACAGAAGAUCAAAUAUAAAUGCUUAUGGUUUUUGGCUUUUUGGUGUAAUGUACAGGAUGUAAAAGAUGAAAAUAGCUUAGUAGAUUUGAUAGUCACUACACGGACAAGGAAUAUAUAGAGCCUUUCUUUUUUGUUUUUGUAUAGAAGGAUCCCUAACUUUGUAAUGUCCUAGCACCAUCUUAGUGCUGGUCUAUUCUUCUAUUCAUACUAGUCUCUAUAUGCGUUU
Nicotiana tabacum (common tobacco) is the source of this 548-nucleotide long non-coding RNA. RefSeq lists it as uncharacterized. The record is from RefSeq and is a predicted model, not a curated record. Lineage: Eukaryota; Viridiplantae; Streptophyta; Magnoliopsida; Solanales; Solanaceae.